GACGAACGCUGGCGGCGUGCCUAAUACAUGCAAGUCGAGCGGAAUGAUGAAGAAGCUUGCUUCUUCUGAUUUUAGCGGCGGACGGGUGAGUAACACGUGGGCAACCUACCUUGUAGAUUGGGAUAACUCCGGGAAACCGGGGCUAAUACCGAAUAAUCCAUUUCGCUACAUGGCGAGAUGUUGAAAGACGGUUUCGGCUGUCACUACAAGAUGGGCCCGCGGCGCAUUAGCUAGUUGGUAGGGUAAUGGCCUACCAAGGCGACGAUGCGUAGCCGACCUGAGAGGGUGAUCGGCCACACUGGGACUGAGACACGGCCCAGACUCCUACGGGAGGCAGCAGUAGGGAAUCUUCCACAAUGGACGAAAGUCUGAUGGAGCAACGCCGCGUGAGUGAAGAAGGUUUUCGGAUCGUAAAACUCUGUUGUAAGGGAAGAACACGUACGAGAGUAACUGCUCGUACCUUGACGGGUACCUUAUUAGAAAGCCACGGCUAACUACGUG
Molecule: ribosomal RNA, 501 nt
Filed under: uncultured bacterium
Lineage: Bacteria
Description: bacterial SSU rRNA
Rfam family: Bacterial small subunit ribosomal RNA
Source: RNAcentral